RNAcentral lists this ribosomal RNA (78 nucleotides) under Cynometra schlechteri. RNAcentral's name for it is "partial 26S ribosomal RNA". It matches the Rfam family "Eukaryotic large subunit ribosomal RNA", at positions 1 to 74 of the family's 3401-position model. The record is from RNAcentral. Lineage: Eukaryota; Viridiplantae; Streptophyta; Magnoliopsida; Fabales; Fabaceae.
AUCGCGACCUCAGCUCAGGCGGGGCUACCCGCUGAGUUUAAGCAUAUCAAUAAGCGGAGGAAAAGAAACUAACAAGGG